GACCGUGUAGCUCAGUUGGCAGAGCAUUGGGCUAGUAUUCCAAAGGUCGUAGGUUCGAUUCCCACCGUGGCUG
Paramuricea clavata is the source of this 73-nucleotide non-coding RNA. The record is from the annotation of a GenBank genome assembly. Lineage: Eukaryota; Metazoa; Cnidaria; Anthozoa; Malacalcyonacea; Plexauridae.